Molecule: ribosomal RNA, 433 nt
Filed under: uncultured bacterium
Lineage: Bacteria
Description: partial 16S ribosomal RNA
Rfam family: Bacterial small subunit ribosomal RNA
Source: RNAcentral
AACGAACGCUGGCGGCAUGCCUAACACAUGCAAGUCGAACGAGACCUUCGGGUCUAGUGGCGCACGGGUGCGUAACGCGUGGGAACCUUCCCUUAGGUUCGGAAUAACUCCCCGAAAGGGGUGCUAAUACCGGAUAAUGUCUUCGGACCAAUGAUUUAUUGCCUUUGGUUGGGCCCGCGUUGGAUUAGCUCGUUGGUAGGGUAAAAGCCUACCAAGGCGACGAUCAGUAGCUGGUCUGAGAGGAUGAUCAGCCACACUGGGACUGAGACACGGCCCAGAAUCCUACGGGAUGCAGCAGUGGGGAAUAUUGGACAAUGGGCGAAAGCCUGAUCCAGCAAUGCCGCGUGAGUGAUGAAGGCCUUAGGGUUGUAAAGCUCUUUUACCCGGGAUGAUAAUGACAGUACCGGGAGAAUAAGCUCCGGCUAACUCCGUG